RNAcentral lists this ribosomal RNA (256 nucleotides) under uncultured bacterium. RNAcentral's name for it is "partial 16S ribosomal RNA". It matches the Rfam family "Bacterial small subunit ribosomal RNA", at positions 524 to 776 of the family's 1533-position model. The record is from RNAcentral.
GACAUAGGUGGCGAACGUUAUCCGGAAUUAUUGGGCGUAAAGGGUGCGUAGACGGUCUAGUAAGUUAGCAGUGGGAAAUCGAGGCCCAACCUCGUGGAAAUUGCUAAUACUACUAUACUCGAGUGCAGGAGAGGUUAACGGAACUCUAUGUGGAGCGGUAAAAUGUGACGAUAUGUGGAUGAACACCAAUAACGGCGAAGGCAGUUAACUAUUCUGUUACUGACGUUGAGGCACGAAAGCGUGGGGAGCAAAAAGG